RNAcentral lists this ribosomal RNA (465 nucleotides) under Vreelandella stevensii. Its description in RNAcentral is "partial 16S ribosomal RNA". It matches the Rfam family "Bacterial small subunit ribosomal RNA", at positions 338 to 795 of the family's 1533-position model. The record is from RNAcentral. Lineage: Bacteria; Pseudomonadati; Pseudomonadota; Gammaproteobacteria; Oceanospirillales; Halomonadaceae.
CCUACGGGUGGCAGCAGUGGGGAAUAUUGGACAAUGGGGGCAACCCUGAUCCAGCCAUGCCGCGUGUGUGAAGAAGGCCCUCGGGUUGUAAAGCACUUUCAGUGAGGAAGAACGCCUGGUGGUUAAUACCCAUCAGGAAAGACAUCACUCACAGAAGAAGCACCGGCUAACUCCGUGCCAGCAGCCGCGGUAAUACGGAGGGUGCGAGCGUUAAUCGGAAUUACUGGGCGUAAAGCGCGCGUAGGUGGCUUGAUAAGCCGGUUGUGAAAGCCCCGGGCUCAACCUGGGAACGGCAUCCGGAACUGUCAAGCUAGAGUGCAGGAGAGGAAGGUAGAAUUCCCGGUGUAGCGGUGAAAUGCGUAGAGAUCGGGAGGAAUACCAGUGGCGAAGGCGGCCUUCUGGACUGAAACUGACACUGAGGUGCGAAAGCGUGGGUAGCGAACAGGAUUAGAUACCCCAGUAGUC